UAUAAGCGAGGAAAAGAAACUAACUAGGAUUCCCUUAGUAGCUGCGAGCGAAUAGGGAAAAGCCCAGCACCGAAUCUUGCGGCCGACACCGGUCGCCGAGAAAUGUGGUGUUUGGGAGGGUCCGUUAUCUCGAGGUAAUGUGUCGCGUCCAAGUCCUUCUUGAACGGGGCCACAGCCCAUAGAGGGUGCCAGGCCCGUAGUGACCGGCGCUUACCGCGAGAGGAUCUCUCCUCAGAGUCGGGUUGCUUGAGAGUGCAGCCCUAAGUGGGUGGUAAACUCCAUCUAAGGCUAAAUAUGACCACGAGACCGAUAGCGAACAAGUACCGUGAGGGAAAGUUGAAAAGCACUUUGAAGAGAGAGUUCAAGAGUACGUGAAACCGUUUAGGGGUAAACCUGAGAAACCCGAAAGGUCGAAGGGAGAAAUUCAUUCGCGUUUCGGCUGAUGGCGUAUGACGUUUGAGCGUCGCAUCGUCUUCGGGCGAAGCGAGCCUUACGUUUGUCGUGUUCCGUCGUCGAACGCGUGCACUUUUCUCCUUGUAGGACGCCGCGAUCCGUUGGGCGUCGGUUUAAGGUUUACGGUGGAGCUCCGGGGUGUUUUUUAGCACGCCGGAACCCGUGACACACCCGACCGACACGCUCGACGGUAGAAUGAUGGCGCGAGGCCGCUACUUGUUAGCGUCCGACCCGUGGCAAGCUAACCGAAUGUGUUGGUGCACCGGACCUAGUGCCGGUCCCGACCUUCGGCGACUGUUGGCUGCGGCGUUCUCGGACAGACUUCGUUACGCCGAUCUGCGACGCUUUAGCUUUGGGGUACUUUCAGGACCG
RNAcentral lists this ribosomal RNA (825 nucleotides) under Auletobius uniformis. RNAcentral's name for it is "eukaryotic LSU rRNA". It matches the Rfam family "Eukaryotic large subunit ribosomal RNA", at positions 45 to 650 of the family's 3401-position model. The record is from RNAcentral. Lineage: Eukaryota; Metazoa; Arthropoda; Insecta; Coleoptera; Attelabidae.